Long non-coding RNA from Ruditapes philippinarum (Manila clam), 1187 nucleotides. RefSeq lists it as uncharacterized. The transcript is spliced from 4 exons. The record is from RefSeq and is a predicted model, not a curated record. Lineage: Eukaryota; Metazoa; Mollusca; Bivalvia; Venerida; Veneridae.
AAUUUCCUUUCUAUAUUAUCGGUCUGCCUAUAUCAAAAAGAACGAACAACACCUAAUUGCAUUCUGUUUAAGCUCAAUAGAAAAUAAGUAGUUAAUGCGACCAAGAAAGUAGUGCAGCAGAACUAUAUGUAUACUUUCAAACGUGGAUGACUUUAAGAAAAAGCUGAUGUUCAAAAAAACUUGAAAUGAUGAUAUUCAAUGUUAGCUAACAUCAAUGGAACAUAAUCUUAAACGUGUACGAAAAAAAAACAUCAGUAUUAUUACGCAUUAGGCCACAGAAAAGUUUGUGUCCAUGUACCUAUGUACAAUAAAUUGAAUAUAAAUAAGGUGUCAUUUUGUAGCAGAGAUGCUGAAAAAUUCACAUGUAAGUCAACCGAAGGGAAAUGAAAGUAUUUAUUGUAUAUAUUUAGCAAUUUAUUGAAUAGCAUUUUAUGCCACCGCUGAUUUUUUUUACGUCAAUAACUCAAGAGGAAACAAUGGAUACAAUAUGUGGCCUUAAAAAAGCGUACUAUUUUCGCAAAAAAUGGUUCGCAAACUUUCAUAGAAUCAAAGCGUUUGAAACAAAAAUAUUAUUAUGUAAAUAAUAAAAAACAAGAUAACACUACAAGUCUUUCAAAGGUAUUCUGGAAUUAACGGAUGCAAUUUGGUAAAACUUGGUUUUGACUAGUAGGGCACACCCGCCAUUGUUCGGACCAUCGACAGAAUAACGUUCGUGUUUUUCAGAUUUCUCCAUCCAAGACAUAGAUUUGCUGAUGAAUAACAUCGCAAAGAUCUUGGUGUAUUGUCUUUCAUACUUGGCCACAACAACCCUUCAAAUAGACCAGACUAAACUAAAUUAACUUGACCACCAUAUUAACAUUCAAGAAGUUCGGCCUACAUGUCAGAUUUAUGAAUGUGAACAGCAGGAUAUCGAUUUUAAGGAUGCUUUAGGGUCAAUGACAAUGAAAUCACGAGAGAUAAAGGCUAAAAUGUGAGACUGUCAAUCUGACUAACCUUGAAGUGAACAAAUGGAAAAAAUGUCUCUUUCAAUAGCAUGGGCUUUUAAGGAAGAGGAAACAGAGGCGCUUAUAUGAUAGAACAGUAAAAGCAGGAGUGAUAAGGAAAGAUACAUGUAGAAUAAGAUGUGUCUUCAUGUCUGAAACACUAAAGAAAUAGAAAUAUUGUGGUUUUAUAAACUUUAAAAGAAA